GUUAAAAGAAUGUGAAACAAACAGUAAUUUUUUUAUUUUACAUUUAAAAGUUGCAGAACUAAAAGUUAAAAAAAAAUGUUUGAAGAGAAAAAUAACAAAGAGAACUUUUUUUUUUAAGAGAUAGAUAGCAGGCUACCCGCUUGUGUUUAUUUCAUUUAGAAAUAAAUUUAGCUAGAAUUGUGAAUCAACUAGGAUUCGAACUUGGGUCUCGGAAACCAACCUCCAAACCCUUUGCCACUUGCUCUAGAGACGAUCGGUAACAAAGAGAACUAAAAGAACAAAAAGAGCUCUAUAGCAUAAUUAAGAAUCUCACCAAUAU
This 319-nucleotide long non-coding RNA is filed under the name Ananas comosus (pineapple). RNAcentral's name for it is "long non-coding RNA (ACOM_LNC019688)". Lineage: Eukaryota; Viridiplantae; Streptophyta; Magnoliopsida; Poales; Bromeliaceae. The record is from RNAcentral.